AGAAUCUUCCGCAAUGGACGAAAGUCUGACGGAGCAACGCCGCGUGAGGGAGGAAGGCCUUAGGGUUGUAAACCUCUUUUCUCUGGGAAGAAGAACUGCCGGUACCAGAGGAAUAAGCCUCGGCUAACUCCUUGCCAGCAGCCGCGGUAAGACGGAGGAGGCAAGCGUUAUCCGGAAUUAUUGGGCGUAAAGCGUCCGUAGGCGGUUUUUUAAGUCUGUUGUCAAAGCCCACAGCUCAACUGUGGAUCGGCAAUGGAAACUGGGGAACUUGAGUGUGGUAGGGGUAGAGGGAAUUCCCGGUGUAGCGGUGAAAUGCGUAGAUAUCGGGAAGAACACCAGUGGCGAAGGCGCUCUACUGGGCCACAACUGACGCUGAUGGACGAAAGCUAGGGGAGCG
This 397-nucleotide ribosomal RNA is filed under the name uncultured bacterium. RNAcentral's name for it is "bacterial SSU rRNA". It matches the Rfam family "Bacterial small subunit ribosomal RNA", at positions 358 to 770 of the family's 1533-position model. The record is from RNAcentral.